AGGACUAACGCUGGCGGCGUGCCUAACACAUGCAAGUCGAACGGGGGUAGCAAUACCCCCAGUGGCAGACGGGUGAGUAACACGUGGUCAACCUACCUCUGUGUGGGGGAUAACUAGCCGAAAGGUUAGCUAAUACCGCAUACGAUCGUUUUGAGGCAUCUCGAGACGAUGAAAGGAGCAAUCCGCACGGAGAGGGGACUGCGUCCCAUUAGUUAGUUGGUGGGGUAACGGCCUACCAAGACUCCGAUGGGUAGCUGGCUUGAGAGAGCGACCAGCCACACUGGAACUGAGACACGGUCCAGACUCCUACGGGAGGCAGCAGUGAGGAAUUUUCCGCAAUGGGCGAAAGCCUGACGGAGCGACGCCGCGUGUGGGAUGGAAGGCCGUUCGGGUCGUAAACCACUGUCGAAGGGGACGAUAUUGGCGGUACCCGUUGGAGGAAGCCCCGGCUAACGUACGUGCCAGCAGCCGC
Molecule: ribosomal RNA, 472 nt
Filed under: uncultured bacterium
Lineage: Bacteria
Description: SSU rRNA
Rfam family: Bacterial small subunit ribosomal RNA
Source: RNAcentral